UGCCUUUAGAUAAAUUCAAGGUAACGCCUGCCCAAUGCUUAAGUAGUGAAUGGCCGCAGUAUUUUGACUGUGCUAAGGUAGCAUAAUCAUUAGUCUCUUAAUUAGAGGCUGGUAUGAAUGGUGAGACGAGAAAAAAGCUGUCUCUGAAUGAAUUUUUGAAUUUCAUUUCUGGGUGAAAAAGCUCAGAUAAUUUUAAGGGACGAUCAGACCCUAUGGAGCUUUUUUGUUGGGGCGACAAAGAGUUAAGUUUUAACACUCUUUUUAAUUAACAUAAUUAAAUGGAAAAUUGAUCCUAGUAGAUAGAUUAUAAGACUAAGUUACCCUAGGGAUAACAGCGUAAUUCUUUUAGAGAGUUCAAAUCGAUAAAAGAGUUUGCGACCUCGAUGUUGGAUUAAGAGAAUCAGCAAGGUGCAGCAGUUUUGUUGGAAAGUCUGUUCGACUUUUAAAUUCUUACA
RNAcentral lists this ribosomal RNA (455 nucleotides) under Macrothrix laticornis. RNAcentral describes it as "partial 16S ribosomal RNA". It matches the Rfam family "Bacterial large subunit ribosomal RNA", at positions 1832 to 2600 of the family's 2925-position model. Lineage: Eukaryota; Metazoa; Arthropoda; Branchiopoda; Diplostraca; Macrotrichidae. The record is from RNAcentral.